Molecule: non-coding RNA, 696 nt
Organism: Pogona vitticeps (central bearded dragon)
Lineage: Eukaryota; Metazoa; Chordata; Lepidosauria; Squamata; Agamidae
Source: RefSeq, a predicted model, not a curated record
AUGAGUCAUGCUUUGUUGCAGAAUUCACACAGACUUACCCAUGUGGGCAUUCUGUGAAUUAUAACAAGAUCUAAAAGCCAAUUCAGUUCGGAUAAUGAUACUUACCGGUUCUGCCAGCUUCUCCAGUGCUUCUCGAAGAAUGAAGUAAUUUCUUUCCACUGAGAAGAAUCAACACUAUUAUGAGAGAAAAUCCACCAAGGAAAGAAUCUCCUGGGAUGCUGAAAGGAUGGGAAUCUGAUCCACAACAGGAAGAUAAUACUGUAUAUGUCAACCACAUCAAGAACUCUGAUAUGUAUCCUAGAAUUUUGGCAAUAUUUCCUAUCAAAUCCUAACCAUUGCAAUCUGAAAACAUUUUGAAACAGUUUUGGUAUUAUUUCCAUGGGGGAAAUGAGCAAGUCUGUUACAUGAAAAACAGCAUAGUUUUUAGACACUUUGAAGACUAACAGGCUUUAUUUGGCACAAGCUUCCCCAAACUGUAGACUGCUUCUUCAAAUGCAGUGGCCAGAAUUCUACUUGCAAUUUCUAUGUAUGUCACAGUGUCAAAUCGCUCCUCAUUAACAAGGUGAUUUGUUGCAUUCCCAGUCAUGUGCUAAUUUCCCACAAUGACACACAAGCAGGAAUAUGACUGGCAUCUUAUCCAUUUUACACUUGUAAAAGUAAUUUCACUUUUACAAGUGUAAAUUACCAAUAGGAUUG